CUGAACUGCAGCUUGGAUGCCUGCUUCAACUGCCAAAGCAGAAAAGCCAAAACUUUGUUUUUAAUUAAACUGAUGCUUCCAAGGCCCCCUCGUCCUUGGGGUCUGGCUGCGGCCCAGAAGGAGGCAACGAGCAGCGCCAGGCAGUGGGCACUUGUGAGAAGUCUUCCUCUCCAAGAAUCAAGCCUGCAGAACCGGGUCAGGGACAGAGCUGAAUGGUGGACAUCCUGCUGCACUCAAACUCACUCCACCCUUAGAUCAUGAAUGUUUCAUAAAUGAUGCUGAAUGAACUAACGACUCAAGAAACCAGAUGCCUCAUCUUUGAAAUCCUCAUUGCCAUCAGGGAAUAUGGGAGAAUCACUCAUCUGGAUUUCCAUUGUGCCUAGACCUUGAUGCCACCUUGUGUCCAGCCGGGUCCUUGAUGCCUUCCGGAUUUGUUUCCCAGACAGUUAUUUGGUGCUUCUUUCCAUGGCAUGCCUAGAGUCGGAAUUGUCUGUGAUGACUUUUAACUGGGGAGGCCUGCUGUGGCACAAAAUUUCAUUACUCCCUCGAGCAACCUCUGAGCUGUUGUCUGAGUUCUAAUGGCAGCAAGUUAGGGAUCCCCAGGCAGGGGCUGGGGCCCCACAGGAAGAAGGGAAUGAAAGAUUGAAAAAGAGAGGAAUCACAAGAGAAAAAGCAAGGAACACAUGACUCAGAGAGCAGAUACCCAUUUAUAUGGGAAGGGACAGCAGUUAGGUAAAUGUUCAGAAACUGUGAAGUGAGGCACCACACGGGGCUCUACUAUGGCACACCCAGAGGUUUCUGACAGACUUCUUUCCCAGCGGUCGUACCACCCUGGGACACAGAAAGUUGAAGGCCACUGUGGAGAGAGAAGCUUGAAAUUGCUGGAAGAGAGGAGGUGAUUUAUGAAGAUAUGCCCUGUUUCAUAUGGGCUCUCCUUCACCAGAACCAGACAAGUAGCAUCCAUGGCUCAGAAGCCAAUAUGCUAUUGGUAUGCUGGCUAGCAGUUACCACUCACUCUGGGCAACUGAGGCUCAAUCCCAGUGGGCACUAGGGCGCUGUGAGGAGACAGUGAACAAGGGAAAACUGACUUCGUAGAUCCCAAGAGUUUUGAUGUUGAAGAAAGGGCUAGACAGUGAAUUUCAGGGUGGUGUUUGGGAAAUAUGGAUCAAACCUUGGAUAACAAGAGAAUAUAUGGAAUUCACAACUGAUUCAGAUUUUUUCUUUUUUUGUGUGUGUCCUUCCUGAAGAUUUUUUUUAAGGUUUUAUUUAUUUACUCAUGGAGACACAGAGAAA
This is a long non-coding RNA of Canis lupus familiaris (dog), 1293 nucleotides long. RefSeq lists it as uncharacterized. The record is from RefSeq and is a predicted model, not a curated record. The transcript is spliced from 3 exons. Lineage: Eukaryota; Metazoa; Chordata; Mammalia; Carnivora; Canidae.